UCGAUUUGGAGGUUGUGGUCUUAUUUUGAGCUGGGGCUUUCGAAGCUAACGCGUUAAAUCGACCGCCUGGGGAGUACGACCGCAAGGUUAAAACUCAAAUGAAUUGACGGGGGCCCGCACAAGCGGUGGAGCAUGUGGUUUAAUUCGAUGCAACACGAAGAACCUUACCUACUCUUGACAUCCAAAGAACUACGUAGAGAUAUGUGGGUGCCUUCGGGAACUUUGAGACAGGUGCUGCAUGGCUGUCGUCAGCUCGUGUUGUGAAAUGUUGGGUUAAGUCCCGCAACGAGCGCAACCCUUAUCCUUUGUUGCCAGCGAGUAAAGUCGGGAACUCAAAGGAGACUGCCGGUGAUAAACCGGAGGAAGGUGAGGAUGACGUCAAGUCAUCAUGGCCCUUAUGAGUAGGGCUACAAACGUGCUACAAUGGCGUAUACAAAGAGAAGCGACCUCGCGAGAGUUAGCAAACCUUAUAAAGUACGUCUUAGUCCGGAUUGGAGUCUGCAACUCGACUCCAUGAAGUCGGAAUCGCUAGUAAUCGUGGAUCAGAAUGUCACGGUGAAUACGUUCCCGGGCC
Molecule: ribosomal RNA, 574 nt
Filed under: endosymbiont of Camponotus nawai
Lineage: Bacteria; Pseudomonadati; Pseudomonadota; Gammaproteobacteria; Enterobacterales; Enterobacteriaceae
Description: bacterial SSU rRNA
Rfam family: Bacterial small subunit ribosomal RNA
Source: RNAcentral